CGUGGGUAACCUGCCCAAGAGAUCGGGAUAACACCUGGAAACAGAUGCUAAUACCGGAUAACAACAGAUGAUGCCUAUCAACUGUUUAAAAGAUGGCUCUGCUAUCACUCUUGGAUGGACCUGCGGUGCAUUAGCUAGUUGGUAGGGUAACGGCCUACCGAGGCGAUGAUGCAUAGCCGAGUUGAGAGACUUAUCGGCCACAUUGGGACUUAGACACGGCCCAAACUCCUACGGGAGGCAGCAGCG
This 246-nucleotide ribosomal RNA is filed under the name uncultured Lactobacillus sp. RNAcentral's name for it is "partial 16S ribosomal RNA". It matches the Rfam family "Bacterial small subunit ribosomal RNA", at positions 116 to 356 of the family's 1533-position model. The record is from RNAcentral. Lineage: Bacteria; Bacillati; Bacillota; Bacilli; Lactobacillales; Lactobacillaceae.